AAGGAUAACGUUGCGUCAGCAACGGCCCGAAGGGCGAGGCGAAGCCGAGUCAUCCUGCACGACCCACCA
RNAcentral lists this small RNA (69 nucleotides) under Salmonella enterica subsp. enterica. RNAcentral's name for it is "partial RtT sRNA". It matches the Rfam family "RtT RNA", at positions 58 to 130 of the family's 130-position model. Rfam says of the family: This family represents a bacterial cis-regulatory element known as RtT RNA. The exact function of RtT is unknown although it is thought that it may be involved in changing the cellular response in relation to amino acid starvation. Lineage: Bacteria; Pseudomonadati; Pseudomonadota; Gammaproteobacteria; Enterobacterales; Enterobacteriaceae. The record is from RNAcentral.